AACAGGGAUUGCCCUAGUAACGGCGAGUGAAGCGGCAACAGCUCAAAUUUGAAAUCUGGCCUUACGGUCCGAGUUGUAAUUUGCAGAGGAUGCUUCUGGCGACGUGCCUUCCGAGUUCCCUGGAACGGGACGCCAUAGAGGGUGAGAGCCCCCGUCCGGUCGUGCACCUAGCCUCUGUGAAGCUCCUUCGACGAGUCGAGUAGUUUGGGAAUGCUGCUCUAAAUGGGAGGUAUACGUCUUCUAAAGCUAAAUACCGGCCAGAGACCGAUAGCGCACAAGUAGAGUGAUCGAAAGAUGAAAAGCACUUUGAAAAGAGGGUUAAAUAGUACGUGAAAUUGCUGAAAGGGAAGCGCUUAUGACCAGACUUGGGCUCGGUGAAUCAUCCGGCGUUCUCGCCGGUGCACUUUGCCGUCCCAGGCCAGCAUCAGUUCGCGCCGGGGGAUAAAGGUUUCGGGAAUGUGGCCCCCUAGGGGGUGUUAUAGCCCGUUGCGUAAUACCCUGGCGUGGACUGAGGUCCGCGCUCUGCAAGGAUGCUGGCGUAAUGGUCAUCAGUGACCCGUCUUGAAACACGGACCAAGGAGUCGUCUUCGUAUGCGAGUGUUCGGGUGUCAAACCCCUACGCGUAAUGAAAGUGAACGUAGGAGAGAGCUUCGGCGCAUCUCCGACCGAUCCUGAUGUUCUCGGAUGGAUUUGAGUAAGAGCAUACGGGGCCGGACCCGAAAGAAGGUGAACUAUGCCUGUAUAGGGUGAAGCCAGAGGAAACUCUGGUGGAGGCUCGCAGCGGUUCUGACGUGCAAAUCGAUCGUCAAAUAUGGGCAUGGGGGGCGAAAGA
RNAcentral lists this ribosomal RNA (832 nucleotides) under Acremonium sp. IHEM 27975. RNAcentral's name for it is "partial 28S ribosomal RNA". It matches the Rfam family "Eukaryotic large subunit ribosomal RNA", at positions 67 to 930 of the family's 3401-position model. The record is from RNAcentral. Lineage: Eukaryota; Fungi; Ascomycota; Sordariomycetes; Hypocreales; Bionectriaceae.